UAAAGUUUUAAAUAGGUUGAGAUUGAUAUAAUCUUUCAUAUUGUGCAAAGCCUUGGUGCUGCCAGGAGCAUUGUC
Molecule: transfer RNA, 75 nt
Filed under: Bacteroidia bacterium
Lineage: Bacteria; Pseudomonadati; Bacteroidota; Bacteroidia
Description: tRNA-Glu
Source: RNAcentral